Molecule: ribosomal RNA, 253 nt
Filed under: uncultured bacterium
Lineage: Bacteria
Description: partial 16S ribosomal RNA
Rfam family: Bacterial small subunit ribosomal RNA
Source: RNAcentral
GACAGAGGGUGCAAACGUUGCUCGGAUUUACUGGGCGUAAAGCGCGUGUAGGCGGGUGGAAAAGUCGGGAGUGAAAUCCCUGGGCUCAAUCCAGGAACUGCUUCCGAAACUCUCCAUCUAGAGUGAUGAAGAGGAAAGCGGAAUUCCCGGUGUAGAGGUGAAAUUCGUAGAUAUCGGGAGGAACACCAGUGGCGAAGGCGGCUUUCUGGGCAUCAACUGACGCUGAGACGCGAAAGCGUGGGGAACAAACAGG